UGGGGAAUAUUGCGCAAUGGGGGGAACCCUGACGCAGCCAUGCCGCGUGAAUGAAGAAGGCCUUCGGGUUGUAAAGUUCUUUCGGUAUUGAGGAAGGUUGAUGUGUUAAUAGCACAUCAAAUUGACGUUAAAUACAGAAGAAGCACCGGCUAACUCCGUGCCAGCAGCCGCGGUAAUACGGAGGGUGCGAGCGUUAAUCGGAAUAACUGGGCGUAAAGGGCACGCAGGCGGUUAUUUAAGUGAGGUGUGAAAGCCCCGGGCUUAACCUGGGAAUUGCAUUUCAGACUGGGUAACUAGAGUACUUUAGGGAGGGGUAGAAUUCCACGUGUAGCGGUGAAAUGCGUAGAGAUCUGGAGGAAUACCGAUGGCGAAGGCAGCUCCCUGGCAUCAUACUGACACUGAGGUGCGAAAGCGUGGGUAGCAAACAGGAUUAGAUACCCUGGUAGUCCACGCCGUAAACGAUGUCUACCAGUCGUUGGGUCUUUUAAAGACUUAGUGACGCAGUUAACGCAAUAAGUAGACCGCCUGGGGAGUACGGCCGCAAGGUUA
RNAcentral lists this ribosomal RNA (549 nucleotides) under uncultured bacterium. RNAcentral's name for it is "bacterial SSU rRNA". It matches the Rfam family "Bacterial small subunit ribosomal RNA", at positions 355 to 896 of the family's 1533-position model. The record is from RNAcentral.